This 340-nucleotide long non-coding RNA is filed under the name Salmo salar (Atlantic salmon). RNAcentral's name for it is "lncRNA (ENSSSAG00000098359.1, ENSSSAG00075066796.1)". The record is from RNAcentral. Lineage: Eukaryota; Metazoa; Chordata; Actinopteri; Salmoniformes; Salmonidae.
GCCUUGCCGGUUGAAAUAUCAAAACAAACUCUGAACCAAUUAUAUUAAUUUGUGGACAGGUCAAAAAACAUUAGGUUUUGUUGUGGAAUUGUUAGAUGUUACCUGUUAGAUAAUGCUGCACUGUUAGAUCUAAAAGCGUUUAUUUUUCUUCUUUGGACUUUAUAUGACGGUUGGCAAUUUACAGUGCAUUACUUCAACUGACUGGACUGCGGACCUCAGUUAAUCUUUCAAUCACCCACGUGGGUAUAUGCUUCUAAAAAACAACGAGGAUAUGGCACAUGGGUAUAUGCUCCUAAAAACCAAUGUGGAGAUGGGAGAGGCCGGACUUGCAGCACGUGAA